AGGUUAAGUUAAUAAGGGCGCACGGUGGAUGCCUUGGCACUAGGAGCCGAAGAAGGACGUGACAAACGACGAUAUGCCUUGGGUAGCUGUAAGUAAGCGAUGAUCCAGGGAUUUCCGAAUGGGGGAACCCAACAGGUACUACCUGUUACCCAUAUCUGUUAAGGAUGUGAGGAGGAAGACGCAGUGAACUGAAACAUCUAAGUAGCUGCAGGAAGAGAAAGCAAAAGCGAUUGCCUUAGUAGCGGCGAGCGAAACGGCAGGAGGGCAAACCGAAGAGUUUACUCUUCGGGGUUGUAGGACUGCAAAGUGGACUCAAAGAUUAUAGAAGAAUGAUUUGGGAAGAUCAGCCAAAGAGAGUAAUAGCCUCGUAUUUAAAAUAGUCUUUGUACCUAGCAGUAUCCUGAGUACGGCGGGACACGAGAAAUCCCGUCGGAAUCUGGGAGGACCAUCUCCCAACCCUAAAUACUCCCUAGUGACCGAUAGUGAACCAGUACCGUGAGGGAAAGGUGAAAAGCACCCCGGGAGGGGAGUGAAAUAGAACCUGAAACCGUGUGCCUACAACAAGUUCGAGCCCGUUAAUGGGUGAGAGCGUGCCUUUUGUAGAAUGAACCGGCGAGUUACGAUAUGAUGCGAGGUUAAGUUGAAGAGACGGAGCCGCAGGGAAACCGAGUCUGAAUAGGGCGCAUUAGUAUCAUGUCGUAGACCCGAAACCAUGUGACCUACCCAUGAGCAGGUUGAAGGUGCGGUAAGACGCACUGGAGGACCGAACCAGGGCACGUUGAAAAGUGCUUGGAUGACUUGUGGGUAGCGGAGAAAUUCCAAACGAACUUGGAGAUAGCUGGUUCUCUCCGAAAUAGCUUUAGGGCUAGCGUCGACAUUAGAGAUUCUUGGAGGUAGAGCACUGUUUGGGUGAGGGGUCCAUCCCGGAUUACCAAUCUCAGAUAAACUCCGAAUGCCAAAGAAUUAUGGUCGGCAGUCAGACUGCGAGUGCUAAGAUCCGUAGUCGAAAGGGAAACAGCCCAGACCACCAGCUAAGGUCCCAAAAUAAUUGUUAAGUGGAAAAGGAUGUGGGGUUGCACAGACAACUAGGAUGUUAGCUUAGAAGCAGCUAUUCAUUCAAAGAGUGCGUAAUAGCUCACUAGUCGAGUGACCCUGCGCCGAAAAUGUACCGGGGCUAAAACAAUUUACCGAAGCUGUGGAUACCUUUAUAGGUAUGGUAGGAGAGCGUUCUAUGUGUGGAGAAGGUGUACCGUGAGGAGCGCUGGAACGCAUAGAAGUGAGAAUGCCGGUAUGAGUAGCGAAAGACAGGUGAGAAUCCUGUCCACCGUAAGACUAAGGUUUCCAGGGGAAGGCUCGUCCGCCCUGGGUUAGUCGGGACCUAAGGAGAGACCGAAAGGUGUAUCCGAUGGACAACAGGUUGAUAUUCCUGUACUAGAGUAUGUAGUGAUGGAGGGACGCAGUAGGCUAACUAAAGCAGACGAAUGGAAGUGUCUGUCUAAGCAGUGAGGUGUGAAUUGAGUCAAAUGCUUAAUUCUAUAACAUUGAGCUGUGAUGGGGAGCGAAGUUUAGUAGCGAAGUUAGUGACGUCACACUGCCAAGAAAAGCUUCUAGCGUUAAACAUACUCUACCCGUACCGCAAACCGACACAGGUAGUCGAGGCGAGUAGCCUCAGGUGAGCGAGAGAACUCUCGUUAAGGAACUCGGCAAAAUGACCCCGUAACUUCGGGAGAAGGGGUGCUGACUUUAGGUCAGCCGCAGUGAAUAGGCCCAAGCAACUGUUUAUCAAAAACACAGCUCUCUGCUAAAUCGUAAGAUGAUGUAUAGGGGGUGACGCCUGCCCGGUGCUGGAAGGUUAAGAGGAGUGCUUAGAGGUAACUCGAAGGUAUGAAUUGAAGCCCCAGUAAACGGCGGCCGUAACUAUAACGGUCCUAAGGUAGCGAAAUUCCUUGUCGGGUAAGUUCCGACCCGCACGAAAGGCGUAAUGAUUUGGGCACUGUCUCAACGAGAGACUCGGUGAAAUUUUAGUACCUGUGAAGAUGCAGGUUACCCGCGACAGGACGG
This 2061-nucleotide ribosomal RNA is filed under the name Streptococcus oralis subsp. tigurinus. RNAcentral describes it as "bacterial LSU rRNA". It matches the Rfam family "Bacterial large subunit ribosomal RNA", at positions 1 to 2083 of the family's 2925-position model. The record is from RNAcentral. Lineage: Bacteria; Bacillati; Bacillota; Bacilli; Lactobacillales; Streptococcaceae.